GAUGAGCGCUGGCGGCGUGCCUAAUACAUGCAAGUCGAACGAAACUUCUUUAUCACCGAGUGCUUGCACUCACCGAUAAAGAGUUGAGUGGCGAACGGGUGAGUAACACGUGGGCAACCUGCCCAAAAGAGGGGGAUAACACUUGGAAACAGGUGCUAAUACCGCAUAACCAUAGUUACCGCAUGGUAACUAUGUAAAAGGUGGCUAUACUACCGCUUUUGGAUGGGCCCGCGGCGCAUUAGCUAGUUGGUAGGGUAAAGGCUUACCAAGGCAAUGAUGCGUAGCCGAAUUGAGAGGUUGAUCGGCCACAUUGGGACUGAGACACGGCCCAAACUCCUACGGGAGGCAGCAGUAGGGAAUCUUCCACAAUGGGCGAAAGCCUGAUGGAGCAACGCCGCGUGGGUGAAGAAGGUCUUCGGAUCGUAAAACCCUGUUGUUAGAGAAGAAAGUGCGUGAGAGUAACUGUUCACGUUUCGACGGUAUCUAACCGGAAAGCCACGGCUAACUACGUG
Molecule: ribosomal RNA, 512 nt
Filed under: uncultured bacterium
Lineage: Bacteria
Description: partial 16S ribosomal RNA
Rfam family: Bacterial small subunit ribosomal RNA
Source: RNAcentral